Molecule: ribosomal RNA, 250 nt
Filed under: uncultured prokaryote
Description: partial 16S ribosomal RNA
Rfam family: Bacterial small subunit ribosomal RNA
Source: RNAcentral
UACGUAGGGGGCAAGCGUUAUCCGGAUUUACUGGGUGUAAAGGGAGCGUAGACGGCGAAGCAAGUCUGAGGUAAAAGGACGGGGCCCAACCCCGGAACUGCUUUGGAUACUGUUUGGCUAGAGUGCGGGAGGGGUAAGCGGAAUUCCUAGUGUAGCGGUGGAAUGCGUAGAUAUUAGGAGGAACACCGGUGGCGAAGGCGGCUUACUGGACCGUAACUGACGUUGAGGCUCGAAGGCGUGGGGAGCAAAC